This 497-nucleotide ribosomal RNA is filed under the name uncultured bacterium. RNAcentral's name for it is "partial 16S ribosomal RNA". It matches the Rfam family "Bacterial small subunit ribosomal RNA", at positions 28 to 507 of the family's 1533-position model. The record is from RNAcentral.
GAUGAACGCUGGCGGCGUGCCUAAUACAUGCAAGUCGAGCGAACAGACGAGGAGCUUGCUCCUCUGACGUUAGCGGCGGACGGGUGAGUAACACGUGGAUAACCUACCUAUAAGACUGGGAUAACUUCGGGAAACCGGAGCUAAUACCGGAUAAUAUAUUGAACCGCAUGGUUCAAUAGUGAAAGACGGUUUUGCUGUCACUUAUAGAUGGAUCCGCGCCGCAUUAGCUAGUUGGUAAGGUAACGGCUUACCAAGGCAACGAUGCGUAGCCGACCUGAGAGGCUGAUAGGCCACACUGGAACGGAGACACGGUCCAGACUCCUACGGGAGGCAGCAGUAGGGAAUCUUCCGCAAUGGGCGAAAGCCUGACGGAGCAACGCCGCGUGAGUGAUGAAGGUCUUCGGAUCGUAAAACUCUGUUAUUAGGGAAGAACAAAUGUGUAAGUAACUAUGCACGUCUUGACGGUACCUAAUCAGAAAGCCACGGCUAACUACGGG